GUGAUGAGAUCCUCCACGGUUUUGUACUUGCUGUUCAGCUCGGUGUCGAGGACCUGUUGUUCCAGAUACAAACACAAGAUGGAGCCACUCAAAAGACAGUGCGAAAGGAGUUGCUCAAUAUCCGGGCUAAGGAGUGCGGAGCGUCAGCUCAGAGUAUUUGCCAGUUGACCUGUGGCAGACAGCGAAGCUGAGGGACAGAAACAAAUCUGUGAAAGGCUGAUGUGUGGCAGGGAGGCAGGUUUCCUGCAGCUAUUUUCAAACCUGACAACUUCCUCAUGCUUGUAUCUCUUUACAUUUAGUAACAGAUUGAGUAAAAAACACUUCAGUAAGUGCAUUAAGCACUUUUUUUUUGUCACCAGCACUUGGCCAAUAAAUGAAGUGGAUCAAAUGA
Molecule: long non-coding RNA, 391 nt
Organism: Numida meleagris (helmeted guineafowl)
Lineage: Eukaryota; Metazoa; Chordata; Aves; Galliformes; Numididae
Exons: 2
Source: RefSeq, a predicted model, not a curated record